CCAGACUCCUACGGGAGGCAGCAGUGGGGAAUAUUGCACAAUGGGGGGAACCCUGAUGCAGCGACGCCGCGUGGGUGAAGGAGCACCUCGGUGCGUAAAGCCCUAUCGGCAGGGAAGAAACAGACGGUACCUGACUAAGAAGCCCCGGCUAACUACGUGCCAGCAGCCGCGGUAAUACGUAUGGUGCAAGCGUUAUCCGGAUUUACUGGGGGUAAAGGGAGCGCAGGCGGCGCGCCAAGUCUGAUGUGAAACCCCGGGGCUCAACCCCGGGCAUGCAUUGGAAACUGGCGGGCUGGAGUGCAGGAGAGGUAAGCGGAAUUCCUAGUGUAGCGGUGAAAUGCGUAGAUAUUAGGAGGAACACCAGUGGCGAAGGCGGCUUACUGGACGGCAACUGACGCUGAGGCUCGAAAGCGUGGGGAGCAAACAGGAUUAGAUACCCGGGUAC
Molecule: ribosomal RNA, 445 nt
Filed under: uncultured bacterium
Lineage: Bacteria
Description: partial 16S ribosomal RNA
Rfam family: Bacterial small subunit ribosomal RNA
Source: RNAcentral